GAUGAACGCUGGCGGCGUGCUUAACACAUGCAAGUCGAACGAACCUUCGGGUUAGUGGCGGACGGGUGAGUAACGCGUGGGAAUCUGCCCUCAGGAGGGGGAUAACGGCCGGAAACGGCCGCUAAUACCCCAUAUGCCGAGAGGUGAAAUGAAUUUCGCCUGAGGAUGAGCCCGCGUCUGAUUAGCUAGUUGGUGUGGUAAUGGCGCACCAAGGCGACGAUCAGUAGCUGGUCUGAGAGGAUGAUCAGCCACACUGGGACUGAGACACGGCCCAGACUCCUACGGGAGGCAGCAGUGGGGAAUUUUCCGCAAUGGGCGAAAGCCUGACGGAGCAACGCCGCGUGAGGGAUGAAGGCCUCUGGGCUGUAAACCUCUUUUCUCAAGGAAGAAGACAUGACGGUACUUGAGGAAUAAGCCACGGCUAAUUCCGUGCCAGCAGCCGCGGUAAUACGGGAGUGGCAAGCGUUAUCCGGAAUUAUUGGGCGUAAAGCGUCCGCAGGCGGCCUUGUAAGUCUGUCGUUAAAGCGUGGAGCUUAACUCCAUUUCAGCGAUGGAAACUACAAGGCUUGAGUGUGGUAGGGGCAGAGGGAAUUCCCGGUGUAGCGGUGAAAUGCGUAGAUAUCGGGAAGAACACCAGUGGCGAAGGCGCUCUGCUGGGCCAUAACUGACGCUCAUGGACGAAAGCCAGGGGAGCGAAAGGGAUUAGAUACCCCUGUAGUCCUGGCCGUAAACGAUGAACACUAGGUGUCGGGGGAAUCGACCCCCUCGGUGUCGUAGCUAACGCGUUAAGUGUUCCGCCUGGGGAGUACGCACGCAAGUGUGAAACUCAAAGGAAUUGACGGGGGCCCGCACAAGCGGUGGAGUAUGUGGUUUAAUUCGAUGCAACGCGAAGAACCUUACCAGGGUUUGACAUCCUGCGAAUCCCUUGGAAACGAGGGAGUGCCUUCGGGAGCGCAGAGACAGGUGGUGCAUGGCUGUCGUCAGCUCGUGUCGUGAGAUGUUGGGUUAAGUCCCGCAACGAGCGCAACCCACGUCUUUAGUUGCCAGCAUUCAGUUGGGCACUCUAGAGAGACCGCCGGUGAUAAACCGGAGGAAGGUGUGGAUGACGUCAAGUCAUCAUGCCCCUUACAUCCUGGGCUACACACGUACUACAAUGCUACGGACAAAGGGUUGCAAGCUCGCGAGAGUUAGCUAAUCCCAUAAACCGUGGCUCAGUUCAGAUCGUAGGCUGCAACUCGCCUACGUGAAGGAGGAAUCGCUAGUAAUCGCAGGUCAGCAUACUGCGGUGAAUACGUUCCCGGGCCUUGUACACACCGCCCGUCACACCAUGGAAGUUGGCCAUGCCCGAAGUCGUUACUCCAACCCUUGUGGAGGAGGACGCCGAAGGUGGGGCUGAUGACUGGGGUGAAGUCGUAACAAGGUAGCCGUACCGGAAGGUGCGGCUGGAUCACCUCCU
Molecule: ribosomal RNA, 1456 nt
Filed under: Synechococcus elongatus CCAP 1479/1B
Lineage: Bacteria; Bacillati; Cyanobacteriota; Cyanophyceae; Synechococcales; Synechococcaceae
Description: bacterial SSU rRNA
Rfam family: Bacterial small subunit ribosomal RNA
Source: RNAcentral